UACGGAGGAGGCAAGCGUUAUCCGGAAUUAUUGGGCGUAAAGCGUCCGCAGGUGGCUAUGUAAGUCUGCUGUUAAAGAGUGAGGCUCAACCUCAUAAGAGCAGUGGAAACUACAUGGCUAGAGUGCGUUCGGGGCAGAGGGAAUUCCUGGUGUAGCGGUGAAAUGCGUAGAUAUCAGGAAGAACACCGGUGGCGAAAGCGCUCUGCUAGGCCGCAACUGACACUGAGGGACGAAAGCUAGGGGAGCGAAUGGG
Molecule: ribosomal RNA, 253 nt
Filed under: uncultured bacterium
Lineage: Bacteria
Description: partial 16S ribosomal RNA
Rfam family: Bacterial small subunit ribosomal RNA
Source: RNAcentral